GACGAACGCUGGCGGCGUGCUUAACACAUGCAAGUCGAACGGGAAGGCCCUGCUUGCAGGGUACUCGAGUGGCGAACGGGUGAGUAACACGUGGGUGAUCUGCCCUGCACUUCGGGAUAAGCCUGGGAAACUGGGUCUAAUACCGGAUAGGAGCCAUUUUUAGUGUGAUGGUUGGAAAGUUUUUUCGGUGUAGGAUGAGCUCGCGGCCUAUCAGCUUGUUGGUGGGGUAAUGGCCUACCAAGGCGGCGACGGGUAGCCGGCCUGAGAGGGUGGACGGCCACAUUGGGACUGAGAUACGGCCCAGACUCCUACGGGAGGCAGCAGUGGGGAAUAUUGCACAAUGGGCGCAAGCCUGAUGCAGCGACGCCGCGGGGGGGAUGACGGCCUUCGGGUUGUAAACUCCUUUCGCUAGGGACGAAGCUUUUUGUGACGGUACCUAGAUAAGAAGCACCGGCUAACUACGUG
This 465-nucleotide ribosomal RNA is filed under the name uncultured bacterium. RNAcentral's name for it is "partial 16S ribosomal RNA". It matches the Rfam family "Bacterial small subunit ribosomal RNA", at positions 28 to 507 of the family's 1533-position model. The record is from RNAcentral.